This 255-nucleotide ribosomal RNA is filed under the name uncultured bacterium. RNAcentral's name for it is "partial small subunit ribosomal RNA". It matches the Rfam family "Bacterial small subunit ribosomal RNA", at positions 26 to 285 of the family's 1533-position model. The record is from RNAcentral.
AGGACGAACGCUGGCGGCGUGCUUAACACAUGCAAGUCGAGCGGAAAGGCCCUUCGGGGUACUCGAGCGGCGAACGGGUGAGUAACACGUGAGUAAUCUGCCCCUAGCUCUGGGAUAGCUCCGGGAAACCGGGAUUAAUACCAGAUACGACCACUUUAGACAUCUGUUGUGGUGGAAAGAAUUUCGGCUAGGGAUGAGCUCGCGGCCUAUCAGCUUGUUGGUGAGGUAACGGCUCACCAAGGCGACGACGGGGUA